GUCAGACAAAUCAGAUGUUUACUCAUACAAUUACAACACUUACAUUUGUUUACAACUUUGAAUUGAAUUGGAGAAAGCUUUCGUUAGAAAGAGAAAAAAUAUUGCCACUGUAAGCAUAUUGAUAUAAUAAUAUGCUAAAAGAAGACAGAUAUGACAUUAAAAAAAGAAAAACUGAAAUUGAAGCCGCAAUUUGGCCAUUUUAUAAAAAAAUUGGCGUAAGGUUAUUUUUGGUUAAAUUUUAUUAUUAAUAUUAAUUGAUUUUAAUUUUUAUGCAGGAGAUAUGUAAAAGUAUUCAAUUAAAAAGGCAAAAUCAACGCACAAAGACCGGGACUUGAUACAAAAGAAAAUGUGUUAGAUGCCUGGAUGCUGGGAUGGAAUUUCUUGAUAUGUUGUUAGCAGGUUUGCGUAAGGUGUAUCCAGUCCACACCCAACAUUGUUAAAAUAUAUACAUAUAUUUAGAAUAAGAAUAAAAUAAGAUUAUAUAUCAUUUGAAUUUGUUAAAUUAGAACAUAAAUUGCAUAAAUAUAAUAAUUUAUAUAUAAAUGUAAUUUUUAUAUUAAUAACUUGUAAAUGUAAAAAUUUAAUAAUAAGUUUAACUGUUUAAGUUUAUAUGAUUGUAUUAUCUACAUAUUUGAUUUUGUAAUAAUUAAAAAUGUAAUAAAAUAAAAUAAAAAACAAAAAGAAAAUAAUUAUUUUUAACUGUUAGCGGAAAAAGAUAACAAAUAUAGGUAACAAGCUGCUAACCAAAAUAAUGACCCGUACGGUAACAAAUACAUCUGUUCUGAAUAACAUAGGGAUAACAUAUAUGCUAACAUUUGCUUCAGCAGAGGUAACAUAUAUAUAACAUGCCAAAUAUGAAAAUAUAUGAGGCCAUUAACAGACUGUUAGUUGUCAAAACUUGACCAAUAGGAGACAAGUAUAAGUGUUAUCGUAGAACGAGACCACUUAUGCAAAAUGUAAUUGGAUAGAGUGAGAAAACCGUUGAACGAGUAGGGGCAUAGUGUUACUUCUUUCCCACGCUUCGAACAAAAGUAACACACAAAUUAAUUUUUGCUAAUGUUUAGAGUAACAUAGCUGUAACAUGUUAGCUGAAAAUUACCCGUCUUGCAGGGAAUGAACAGAGUUCAAAAAGCGUUUUAACUAUUUCGAAUAAAAAUUGGGUGGGGCGAAGUUCGCCGGGUCAGCUAGUCUUAAUAUAUAAAAAUCACGUGUCACGUUGUUUGUUUUCGAUGGACUCCUAAACUACUGAACCGAUUUUAAUGAAAUUUUUAACACUGUGUGCAGUUUGGUCCAACUUGAAAGAUAGGAUAGUUUAUAACUCUCCUUAUAGUCGCAUUAUUUAUUUAUUGCAAAUUAUUUGUUUAUUAUUAGCAAAGAGCUAUCCACCAGUUGGU
Molecule: long non-coding RNA, 1394 nt
Organism: Zeugodacus cucurbitae (melon fly)
Lineage: Eukaryota; Metazoa; Arthropoda; Insecta; Diptera; Tephritidae
Exons: 3
Source: RefSeq, a predicted model, not a curated record